GCUUACGGCCACACCGGCCUGAGUACGCCUGACUCUGAUCUCGUCCGAUCUCGGAAGCUAAGCAGGGUCGGGCCUGGUUAGUACUUGGAUGGGAGACCGCCUGGGAAUACCAGGUGCUGUAAGCU
This 125-nucleotide ribosomal RNA is filed under the name Oncorhynchus mykiss (rainbow trout). The record is from RNAcentral. Lineage: Eukaryota; Metazoa; Chordata; Actinopteri; Salmoniformes; Salmonidae.